RNAcentral lists this ribosomal RNA (253 nucleotides) under uncultured bacterium. RNAcentral describes it as "partial 16S ribosomal RNA". It matches the Rfam family "Bacterial small subunit ribosomal RNA", at positions 524 to 776 of the family's 1533-position model. The record is from RNAcentral.
UACAUAGGUCCCAAGCGUUGUUCGGAUUCACUGGGCGUAAAGGGUGCGUAGGCGGUCGGGUAAGUCUGAUGUGAAAUCUCACAGCUUAACUGUGAAACUGCAUUGGAUACUAUCCGGCUCGAGGAAUGGAGGGGAGACUGGAAUACUUGGUGUAGCAGUGAAAUGCGUAGAUAUCAAGUGGAACACCAGUGGCGAAGGCGAGUCUCUGGACAUUUCCUGACGCUGAGGCACGAAAGCCAGGGGAGCAAACGGG